This 73-nucleotide transfer RNA is filed under the name Trichonephila inaurata madagascariensis. It matches the Rfam family "tRNA". Rfam says of the family: Transfer RNA (tRNA) molecules are approximately 80 nucleotides in length. Their secondary structure includes four short double-helical elements and three loops (D, anti-codon, and T loops). The record is from Rfam by way of RNAcentral. Lineage: Eukaryota; Metazoa; Arthropoda; Arachnida; Araneae; Nephilidae.
GUCCCUGUAGAGCAGUGCAUAGCGCGUUGGACUUCUAAUCCAAAGGUCGUGUGUUCGAAUCCCACCAGGGAUG